CAUGGCUAAGAUUACUGUAGUAAAUUUUUAAAUUUAUAAAGAAACAGUAUUUAAUUAUUAUAUUUUAUUAUUAAUAUUUUGGUGAAAAAAAUAACUUUCCGAUAAAGUUCAAAACAAUUUUUUCGAAAAGCUCCAAAACAAAACAUCUUCCAAAAAGCUGCUCUCAGCUUUCUUAAAAAACUAAAACAAUUUUUUAAAAUUUUUAUCAAACACUAUUUUUAUCUAAAAAUAUUUUUAAAAAAUUAAAAAAUAUUUUUUGGCUCUCUAAAUUUUUUCCCAAAUAGAGCAUUAAAUUACAGUGGACUACCUUCUUCAUCGGAAAAUCUGCAGUGCGUCUGCUCACGGGGAUGCAGGGAGGGGGGCUCCCCACGAAAAUGAACUUGAAAAUUACUGAGGGAGACGUCCACUCGCAGCUGGCCGGUACAUCACAUCUCAUCCUUUGACAUCUAUAUCUAAUCCAACCAAAGCGCUGAUAUACAUACAAGGCGGAACGCACCACAACCGCACCACGGAUACCCCUGGCUUUUGUGUACGCCGGACCAGGCUUUUCACGUGAUUUGACAAGCCUCCCAAAACACAAAGCUAGAACCCAAGAGCAUUAG
This 602-nucleotide long non-coding RNA is filed under the name Phoenix dactylifera (date palm). Its description in RNAcentral is "long non-coding RNA (PDAC_LNC016700)". Lineage: Eukaryota; Viridiplantae; Streptophyta; Magnoliopsida; Arecales; Arecaceae. The record is from RNAcentral.